Molecule: long non-coding RNA, 207 nt
Filed under: Homo sapiens (human)
Lineage: Eukaryota; Metazoa; Chordata; Mammalia; Primates; Hominidae
Description: non-protein coding lnc-NTSR2-5:6
Source: RNAcentral
AGUUUAAUAGGACUGCAACAACAAUUUUGCCUUUCUACUUUCUGCUCACCGAAGAAGACAGGAAAACUUGUCAGAUGGGGAAGGAUGUGUCAAGAGCAUGCACACAGAUUUACUCUUCAGCUAGAAGCUCCAAUUCCUAGAUGAUCUGAAUCCAACUCAGAGUGCUUGCACCUGUUUCCUGCCACACAGCUAGAGCUGUCCAGUGAG